AUGUUGUAUUUAAGAGGUUUUCCCACUCACUCUAUGCCAAUUCAUUGUUUUUCAUGCCUGUGUUUCUCCAAUGGUUCUUGUGCUUCUGUGGAUCAUUAUUCUUUUGUUGGACCCUGGAUUUACUUUGGAUUUAUGUAGUUUCUCUGUUUGGACACAACCUUUUCUGUUGGACUAGUUUGAACUCAAGCACUUCCAUUACACUGACAUAUGACUGACACGACAGUCUCACGCACGCACGCACACAGAAGGUUUCUCGGUGAGAUGUGCUGCUCUGGUGGAAACAGCACGAGACGCUGCUACCGCAACUGUCAAGACUGGCUCGCUCUGUGUUUAGUGUCCCCGUCAGCAGCAGCAGCAGCAGCAGCGAACGUGUCUUAAGCCCAGCGGGAAGACUGACAGAAGAGAGAAGGACGGGCUGAAAACCUUCCACUGUGGAUGCUUUUUCUCCACGAUGCUCUGCAAGAGACUGUUCUAACUUUUCAUUUGAUUGGACUUUAUUUUCGUUUAACUGUUGGAAACUACUGGAAAAAAGAAUGGCCAUGUUCUUUGGUACAUUAUAAGUUUUUAAUUUAUUUUAUUUAAUUUGUUUAGGCUAUUGCUCAUUUCGUUUGGGCUGUUGGGAGCAGCCUGCCUGCCUCACUGUAGUAUUUCAAAAAUGUUGUUUUACUCACUGUGGUUUAAUAAACAAACAUUUAUUAAACUAACUGUCUGUGUGAACAGACUUGAAGUGUUUUGUAGCUAAGUAAAGUAUUAGCGUUGAUUUGAGAGGCUAAAUUGAUCAAACAUGUUUUACUCGCUGUCGGCUCGGCUG
Molecule: long non-coding RNA, 811 nt
Organism: Micropterus salmoides (largemouth bass)
Lineage: Eukaryota; Metazoa; Chordata; Actinopteri; Centrarchiformes; Centrarchidae
Exons: 2
Source: RefSeq, a predicted model, not a curated record